Halocaridina rubra (Hawaiian volcano shrimp) is the source of this 73-nucleotide non-coding RNA. The record is from the annotation of a GenBank genome assembly. NCBI's taxonomy places the organism in Eukaryota, Metazoa, Arthropoda, Malacostraca, Decapoda, Atyidae.
ACCUUCUGUGGUGUAGUUGGUAGCACCAAGGCUUAGUAAUUUUAAGUCCUUGGUUCAAGUCCCAGUGGGGAUA